Molecule: ribosomal RNA, 494 nt
Filed under: uncultured bacterium
Lineage: Bacteria
Description: partial 16S ribosomal RNA
Rfam family: Bacterial small subunit ribosomal RNA
Source: RNAcentral
GACGAACGCUGGCGGCGUGCUUAACACAUGCAAGUCGAACGGAAAGGCCUGCUUUCCCUUGUGGAUUGCGGGUACUCGAGUGGCGAACGGGUGAGUAACACGUGAGUGAUCUGCCCCCAACUUGGGUAUAAGCCUGGGAAACUGGGUCUAAUUCCCGAUAGGACUGCAGGGUGGUGCCUGUGGUGGAAAACGAUUUUCUAGUGGUUGGGGAUGAGCUCGCGGCCUAUCAGCUUGUUGGUGGGGUAAUGGCCUACCAAGGCGGCGACGGGUAGCCGGCCUGGGAGGGUGGACGGCCACAUUGGGACUGAGAUACUGGCCAGACUCCUACGGGAGGCAGCAGUGGGGAAUAUUGCACAAUGGGCGGAAGCCUGAUGCAGCGACGCCGCGUGGGGGAUGACGGCCUGCGGGUUGUAAACUCCUUGCGACCGCGAGGAAGCCACCUGGUUGGAAGGGUGGUGACGGUAGUGGUAGAAGAAGCACCGGCUAACUACGUG